Molecule: ribosomal RNA, 539 nt
Filed under: uncultured bacterium
Lineage: Bacteria
Description: bacterial SSU rRNA
Rfam family: Bacterial small subunit ribosomal RNA
Source: RNAcentral
GAGGAAUAUUGGUCAAUGGACGGAAGUCUGAACCAGCCAAGUAGCGUGCAGGAAGACGGCCCUAUGGGUUGUAAACUGCUUUUGUAUGGGGAUAAAGUCAAUCACGUGUGAUUGUUUGCAGGUACCAUACGAAUAAGGACCGGCUAAUUCCGUGCCAGCAGCCGCGGUAAUACGGAAGGUCCAGGCGUUAUCCGGAUUUAUUGGGUUUAAAGGGAGUGUAGGCGGUUUGUUAAGCGUGUUGUGAAAUUUAGAUGCUCAACAUUUAACUUGCAGCGCGAACUGGCGAACUUGAGUGCACACAACGUAUGCGGAAUUCAUGGUGUAGCGGUGAAAUGCUUAGAUAUCAUGAAGAACUCCGAUUGCGAAGGCAGCAUACGGGAGUGUAACUGACGCUUAAGCUCGAAGGUGCGGGUAUCGAACAGGAUUAGAUACCCUGGUAGUCCGCACAGUAAACGAUGGAUGCCCGCUGUUAGCGCCUGGCGUUAGCGGCUAAGCGAAAGCAUUAAGCAUCCCACCUGGGGAGUACGCCGGCAACGGUG